RNAcentral lists this unclassified non-coding RNA (383 nucleotides) under fungal sp. RNAcentral describes it as "partial internal transcribed spacer region". The stretch from base 1 to 46 matches the Rfam family "Eukaryotic small subunit ribosomal RNA", at positions 1786 to 1831 of the family's 1831-position model. Lineage: Eukaryota; Fungi. The record is from RNAcentral.
AAGUCGUAACAAGGUUUCCGUAGGUGAACCUGCGGAAGGAUCAUUACAACGUAUCCACGUACCAAACUCUCGAACCGUUCCCAACGAAGCAAACACUUGUGGAUGAAGUUAAUGGCUGUCUGUCUUUCGCUGAUUGAGUCCGCUGACUUUUGUCAAAGGGACUGAAAGGCAUUCGGUCGCCGGAGCUCGUCUCUGGGGCUUCGUUUACUUCGUUGCGGUUUUACCGUCAGCGUUUGUAAUACCAUUAUUGACCCUUUGAACUUAUGAACUGAACUUGAUAGCUUUGCAGCUGUCCUUGCUGGCUUCGGUCACGGACAUAACUGCUCAGCUUAUCACAUUUACAAAACAAAGAACAACUCUUAGCAACGGAUAUCUUGGUUCUC